Cynara cardunculus var. scolymus (artichoke) is the source of this 107-nucleotide small nucleolar RNA. NCBI's taxonomy places the organism in Eukaryota, Viridiplantae, Streptophyta, Magnoliopsida, Asterales, Asteraceae. The record is from RefSeq and is a predicted model, not a curated record.
AUGCCAUGGUGAGGACAUUUCUUUAACAACUCUUUAAACCUCUCCCAUGCAUCAGGAACAACUUCAUCAUCCAUUUGUUUAACAAGACAUAUUUCAUUCAUGGACUU